This 932-nucleotide ribosomal RNA is filed under the name Levilactobacillus brevis. RNAcentral describes it as "bacterial SSU rRNA". It matches the Rfam family "Bacterial small subunit ribosomal RNA", at positions 378 to 1304 of the family's 1533-position model. The record is from RNAcentral. Lineage: Bacteria; Bacillati; Bacillota; Bacilli; Lactobacillales; Lactobacillaceae.
GAAGUCUGAUGGAGCAUGCCGCGUGAGUGAAGAAGGGUUUCGGCUCGUAAAACUCUGUUGUUAAAGAAGAACACCUUUGAGAGUAACUGUUCAAGGGUUGACGGUAUUUAACCAGAAAGCCACGGCUAACUACGUGCCAGCAGCCGCGGUAAUACGUAGGUGGCAAGCGUUGUCCGGAUUUAUUGGGCGUAAAGCGAGCGCAGGCGGUUUUUUAAGUCUGAUGUGAAAGCCUUCGGCUUAACCGGAGAAGUGCAUCGGAAACUGGGAGACUUGAGUGCAGAAGAGGACAGUGGAACUCCAUGUGUAGCGGUGGAAUGCGUAGAUAUAUGGAAGAACACCAGUGGCGAAGGCGGCUGUCUAGUCUGUAACUGACGCUGAGGCUCGAAAGCAUGGGUAGCGAACAGGAUUAGAUACCCUGGUAGUCCAUGCCGUAAACGAUGAGUGCUAAGUGUUGGAGGGUUUCCGCCCUUCAGUGCUGCAGCUAACGCAUUAAGCACUCCGCCUGGGGAGUACGACCGCAAGGUUGAAACUCAAAGGAAUUGACGGGGGCCCGCACAAGCGGUGGAGCAUGUGGUUUAAUUCGAAGCUACGCGAAGAACCUUACCAGGUCUUGACAUCUUCUGCCAAUCUUAGAGAUAAGACGUUCCCUUCGGGGACAGAAUGACAGGUGGUGCAUGGUUGUCGUCAGCUCGUGUCGUGAGAUGUUGGGUUAAGUCCCGCAACGAGCGCAACCCUUAUUAUCAGUUGCCAGCAUUCAGUUGGGCACUCUGGUGAGACUGCCGGUGACAAACCGGAGGAAGGUGGGGAUGACGUCAAAUCAUCAUGCCCCUUAUGACCUGGGCUACACACGUGCUACAAUGGACGGUACAACGAGUUGCGAAGUCGUGAGGCUAAGCUAAUCUCUUAAAGCCGUUCUCAGUUCGGAUUGUACG